Molecule: ribosomal RNA, 471 nt
Filed under: uncultured organism
Description: partial 16S ribosomal RNA
Rfam family: Bacterial small subunit ribosomal RNA
Source: RNAcentral
ACACUCCUACGGGAGGCAGCAGUGGGGAAUUUUGGACAAUGGGCGAAAGCCUGAUCCAGCAAUGCCGCGUGAGUGAAGAAGGCCUUCGGGUUGUAAAGCUCUUUUGUCAGGGAAGAAACGGUGAGAGCUAAUAUCUUUUGCUAAUGACGGUACCUGAAGAAUAAGCACCGGCUAACUACGUGCCAGCAGCCGCGGUAAUACGUAGGGUGCAAGCGUUAAUCGGAAUUACUGGGCGUAAAGCGUGCGCAGGCGGUUUUGUAAGUCUGAUGUGAAAUCCCCGGGCUCAACCUGGGAAUCGCAUUGGAGACUGCAAGGCUAGAAUCUGGCAGAGGGGGGUAGAAUUCCACGUGUAGCAGUGAAAUGCGUAGAUAUGUGGAGGAACACCGAUGGCGAAGGCAGCCCCCUGGGUCAAGAUUGACGCUCAUGCACGAAAGCGUGGGGAGCAAACAGGAUUAGAAACCCCGGUAGUCC